This is a long non-coding RNA of Zingiber officinale, 2612 nucleotides long. RefSeq lists it as uncharacterized. NCBI's taxonomy places the organism in Eukaryota, Viridiplantae, Streptophyta, Magnoliopsida, Zingiberales, Zingiberaceae. The record is from RefSeq and is a predicted model, not a curated record. The transcript is spliced from 2 exons.
CACACUUAGACACAAGGUUAAAAUGUCACAGGACCUAACUUAACUUGUUGAUCACAUCAAAAUAACCUUGGAGUUCCAACACUUGAUUCCUUGUGUACUUGAAAAAAAAAAGUUGUGGACUGGACCAAGAACAUUCAGGAGUUAGAAUCCUUUUGGAGCAGAGGAAUGAGAACCUAUGUAUGGAGAUCUCUGAUUAUAGCCAGUCUAAAGGGAGGUUCAUGCUAUUACAGUACCAAACAGUUUUGUAUUCCAUACAAGAAACUACAUAAUUUAGUCCAAACUCUCUCUGAACUGAACUUCUAAACCUGAGUGUAUGAAGAAAAAAAAAACAACCUCUAAAUGGUAUAGGUGUUGCUAUACAACUGAUUCUUGGAAUUUUUGAAAAUGUGAAGUACUAGAACUCUGAUAUUUCUUUGAAUAUAAUUGUUGGCUUGAAUCUCUGGUGCUAAAACGAUUAGAAACAAUAUGCUCUUGAUGUAUAUGGCACACAGAAGGAAGGUUAUUUACAUAAUAGUGUAGGGAUUAUCUGGAAAUAAAGAAGACUGGUGGAAGCUGGUUUAAAGGUAGAAACUGGGAAAUGCAGGAAUGAAAUAGUUAUUUCAGAACUUCAAGCUAUUUCAGAGUUUGGAAGUGUGGCAGUGAAGUCUUGUUACACUGAUAAUUUUGAUUAGUACACUCAGGAAAAAAAACAAAGGGACUAUAGCUUAAGGUUGCAGAAUUUGAAUGAGAAAUAAUUGGAGAAUGAUACAACUGGAGUUUGAAAUUGAAUUCUAAAAUGCUGAAAUUGUAUCUUGUUUAGUGCCAAUUCUAAGAUUAAUUGGGGAGAUCAAGGUUCGAAGAAAUCUAGGUCGUCCAUUCGAGAUCAGGGGAGAUCUAUGUCAUCCAUCAAACAUAUGUUCCAUCCAAGUCAAAAAGAUGAUAGAUCAGGACCAUAGAUCAAGAUCUAAAGCCUUUGAACUAGAUCCGAACCGAUCCUACCGUUGAUCAAGAUCUUGAAAAAUCGGAGCAGUUGAUUUAGAUAUCAGAUUUGAUUUAAAUGAGAAGCUACAGCGUCUUUUUGGUUCGUCAAUUCUCUCGCGUCAAAACAGAGGAGGUGAUUGCGCUUUCUUCCUCUGGCGAUCUCAAUCCAUUUCCACCGCCAGUGAGCAAGCGAGGUCAAGGGUGACCCUUCCUCCAUCUAAAAUCUACCCAUCAGCAACCGGCGACGCCACUACAACCUUUUGAUUCAUCACUGAUCGCCUACUUUGCCGUGAUUUCGGGCGAGGAAGAAGAAGCGGAUAAGGAGUGUUUGCUCUACCUUCCCCCCAUAUGACUGUCUACUCCAUUGACGCCAACCGCAAGCCAUCCUUCUUCUUCCUUGAUCAGUUUCGAGACGAGAGGAAGAAGGCCGGAGUUACGAAGGGGAUAGGGUUUGCCAAUUCCUUCGGAAUUCUGUCUUCGUCAUGCCAUCCAUCUUCAGCAGAUCACUCAUCGACGCCGAUCUUCUGCCUCUCUACAUAUCUAAUCCGGAACCUCUUCAUGUGUUGGUUUGUUCUUCAUCUGUGUGUGGAUUGUUCUACAACAUUGCUAAUUGUUUCUCUUUGGUUGAUGAUUGAUUGUUUACUUGAGUUGUUGGAUUGAUUGUAAUUGGAUUCAAGUUUCCAAUGGUUAGGAUUUCAUUUACUCAGUUUUGAAUUGAAUCAUGUAUGCAAUGUGUUUUCUGAAAUGGUUCUUAGAAUUUAGUUAGUAAUUCUAUUAGUUAGUUGAAUGCAAUGCUUGUUAGUUUAGUGGUCUAUGUUUCCAUAUGCUUGGUUCUCCAUUUGGAUGUCAUUAGGUUGGAUUAGAUUUCUUUAGUGCUCUAGGUUUCAUUCCAUGCUUAGUUUUGCUAAUGCCUUAUUUCAUGUUGUCUUUUAUUUUCUGCAAUUGUAGUUAGGUUGGACUUAGCUCUCAUUACCUGUUUGCUAUUUCGUAUUAUAGUUUUAGAACCAAAAUCCAAACUCCUCAUUUUCAUAUCAAAAACCUAAAAAACAAUAACAAAUCAAUCCUAAGAUACCAUUAUUGCUAUAUUCGUUGGGAGACGACUCGAGUCAUCUUUAUACUACAUUAGUGUAGAAUGAAUUCGGUCACUUAAUUCUUUUAAUACUCAUUUCAUGAUAAAAUUAGGGUUUAUCAAACAUUCAGUCCAAGACAGAUUCACUAUGAAUAAGUGAGUUCAUCAUCACUACCUCAAGGGAUCUAACUUUUGGCAAUGGAGGUAAGGGCCUCGGACUCUCCUUUGAUUAAGCGACUUGUGGAAAUUAAAGAUAAGGUGGUUCAGAGGCUACACAGAUAGGGAGCAGUGAACAUGACACUACUGACUGGUUCGCAGGCAAGAAAAAUAGGAUCGCAAAUGCUUAUGAGUUUUUCAGGCCACGGGGGCCUACGGUAUUUUAGGCAUCAAUGGUAUGGAAAUUGGGGACUAUGCCUAAACAUCUUUUUUGUGUUUGUCUCCUUGCACAGGGGAAGUUAUGGACGGCGAACAUAUUGUCAUAUAAGGUGUACAAAUGUUGUGUGCUUUGUGCAGAUAGCGCAGGACGAAUCUAAUGCACAUAUUUAUUUUGAAUGCUCCAUCACCCAAAUUCUAUGGAGCAAGA